UGUCAGACAACAGACAGAUUCUGGAAGGGAAAAGAUGUAGCAGCGAGUCUGGCUAGUGUAUUAGUAUGAGAAUGACUUUAUUCUAUUAUGCAUGGUACCAUAUGUAAGCAGCUAUAUGAUAUAUAAAAUGUAAAAACGAAGUGUUGCAUUGUUAUAACUACAGCGAAGACAACCGACAGCUAGAGACACAUUCUAGACGAUCACAAGGCUACUAAGAUAUGUAGUAAGAAAAGAUGCAUGGGUCGUACGUAGGAUGUGGCGACCGGUUAGGGUCACCCGCUCUCCACCUCUGACAGAAGACCCAUGGUGCUACAUAUUUGAUUUGGUGCCGUAACGCAGUUUCGACAUUUAGGGUAAGCAGCAAAUCUGGGAGAAGAAUACAUAUUUGAUUUGGUGCACGUGACUACGAGAUCGAGUACCCUGGAAGAAGAAUACAUAUCCUAUUUGGUGCUGUACCCCAGUUUCGACCUUUAGGGUAAGCAGCAACUUUGGAAGUAGAAAACCCGAACAAACAGAAAAAAUCUGGUGGAAAAAAAAGAAAUCUGGGGGAGAAAAAUUUUGGUGGAGAAACAAAAAGAAAUCUGGUGGAAAAAAUCUGGUGGAAAUAUUCGAAAAAUUGGGACUUCGAAUUUUGUCUAAUGGUUUGGAUUGUUCGUACUUGGUUUUAGUUUAUUAUUAUCUGUAUAUAAUUUUAUGUAUUUAAUUUUUACUUUAGAAGCGUAAUAUAAACGUUAAAUAUAUAUUUGCUAAGUGCUAUUUUGUGUCAUUUAUUAAAUUUUGCUUUAAAUUGUUCAUGCGAGGUGGUUAAGAAUGUGUAAUUUGACAUGUCACAUUGUACUAGUCUGGUUAUUCAAAACAAUAGGUAUAAACACUAUGUUAAAGUUGACGUUGGUGAAAGUCACGUGACUUCAGUGGUGAGUCGAAUGAAACUAUAUGUGUAAUUAAAAGCUAGGUAUAUUCUGGUUGUCGUGUUUAUAAAAUAUAGACUUGUGUUCCGAGGGAGUGAAGUGCACGUCACUUGCUUUGAACAUAAUUCUAUUCUAAAUAAAUUAUAGUCUGGUGUUGUCAUAAAUUUGAGCUCACUUGUGUCAGUGUCAGUCUGAUAGGAAAUGUUUAUGUAAUAGUGGUUAAUAUGUUUAUAAAAAACGAAAUACAAAAUUGUAAAUGAUUAGGUCAAAAAGGUCGCAUUACUGACGGGGGAAUAUAAAAUAAUAAUGUAAUUGUUUUGGCGGAAUUCUAAAACAGAAAACGCAAUUAUAAAAUUGUUUAUUACUGAUCGAGUUAUGGUCAAGAGGUCAAAGUUAGUUUGAAGAUUUAUAAUUAAAGAAACCCAUCGAAGUUUAUUAAUAACUAAAUGAAGUUUAAUUUUAAUUUAAAAGUAAGAGUUACUAAUAAUAAUAUUAGACUAAUAUCAAAAUAAAGUUUUAAAGAUUUAGUAAUAGUUAGUUCUUGGUCUGAUGACAAGGACAUGUUUGAUUGACGGAUAAAAUUUGUAUUUUGUCUCAAACCAAUGAUACUUAGGAAAAAAAGAAGAAAGUUUCAAUUUGACACUAUGGUAGCUGAAACAGACCACUAGAAAUCCAAGAAGAAGAAAUGGUUUACCAGUUUACCAAAUCGAGAUAUCCUGAGACAGAAUUUAAAGUGAAACCUGAACUUUAUAAAUUAGAAGUGAUGUGUUAUAGUGUUUUGAAUUUAGGGCACAUGAAGAUUUAAAAAAACAAAACAAUUUGUGUUUUCUGUGUUUAGGGUUAAAUAAUUUUCAUAGGACUUUGAAGUACAGUGAUAAACUUUUUGGAGAGCUUACUUUUGAAUUUUGAUUAUUUGUGUUUUUCUUUCAUAGCUUUGUUUUAUGGUAUAGUAAUCAUUUAUAUUUGCAUGUUGCGUGAAUUAGUUAGAAAAUCUAUAUUUUAUAUAUAUUCUUAAAGGUGGAAGAAUAUCGUCGCUGUGACAUUGUUUUUAAAUUCGUAGACAAGGAAUAGAGAUAUAAGAUGAUUUAACAAUAUUUGUAUCUUUACAAAUUAUUCUCUAUUGUCAGUAUAUUAGCUAUGGUAUGAGUUUAUUUAAAACGCAAAUUAAUUGUUUAUGAAAUAGUGUGAGAAUAACAGGAAAGAGGGUCUAAGUUCAAGGAUAGAUUGUGUCAAAAAACGUGUGACUGGAAAUUUACCUAUUGCGUCAUUUGGUUUAGUUUGACCAAUCUCUGUAAUUAUUUACAUCAUAUUUGACCAAUUAGAUAAUAGAACGUCUAAAGCCCAAAGCUACAAAACUAUUAUAUUGGGGGGCGUUUGUCAGACAAAAGGCAGAUUCUGGAAGGGAAACGAUGUAGCAGUUUCUAUCAGCAGACUCGACCAGCGAGUCUGGCUAGUGUAUGUGAAUGACUUUAUUCUAUUAUGCAUUGUACCAUAUGUAAGCAGCUAUAUGUAAAAUGUAAAAACGAA
This is a long non-coding RNA of Patella vulgata (common limpet), 2435 nucleotides long. RefSeq lists it as uncharacterized. NCBI's taxonomy places the organism in Eukaryota, Metazoa, Mollusca, Gastropoda, Patellidae. The transcript has 2 exons. The record is from RefSeq and is a predicted model, not a curated record.